CAGCAGCCGCGUUAAUACCGGCGGCCCGAGUGGCGGCCACUAUUAUUGGGCUUAAAGCGUCCGUAGCCGGGUUGGUUAGUCUCCCGGGAAAUCUGGCCGCUUAACGGUCAGAAUUCCGGGAGAUACUGCCAGCCUAGGGACCGGGAGAGGCCGAGGGUAUUCCCGGAGUAGGGGGGAAAUCCUAUAAUCCCGGGAGGACCACCUGUGGCGAAGGCGCUCGGCUGGAACGGGUCCGACGGUGAGGGACGAAGGCCAGGGGAGCAAACCGGAUUAGAUACCCGGGUAGUCCUGGCGGUAAACGAUGCGGACUUUGUGUCGGACAAGCUAUGAGCUUGUCCGGUGCCGGAGGGAAACCGUUAAGUCCGCCGCCUGGGGAGUACGGCCGCAAGGCUGAAACUUAAAGGAAUUGGCGGG
This 414-nucleotide ribosomal RNA is filed under the name uncultured microorganism. RNAcentral's name for it is "bacterial SSU rRNA". It matches the Rfam family "Archaeal small subunit ribosomal RNA", at positions 459 to 872 of the family's 1478-position model. The record is from RNAcentral.